UGAGUGGUGCUGGUACCACCUGCGAGUUAACUGUUUCAGCUGCUUUGCUUCUGUGCUCCUCAGGGUAGACCCACAGGCUGGGCAGCGAGGCAGAAGUUCAGCUUCCCCAGCGGUGCUGACGGAGCAAUCGGUGUUAGCUGAGCUCUUUCACUGAAUGAAUCCAGGCAACCCUGUGUGUUGCUUCCCGAAGCGAGCAGCGGACCUUGCGAGAGCGUAUCAAGGCUGCUCUAAUGUAUGAAGUCCCCUGCUGAAACGCGAUGUCGAAUGAAAGCAAUCUAGAGCAGGCGCUUUCUACAACCACCGUCAGUUCAGUUGCGGUCCAGGCUGGGGCUUCCAGGAUUGUUAUAGCUGUACUUAAGUGUGGAAAAUGGGUGAAUCUUCAGCUGGCUGAAUCGACACCAAAUUUAUUAGAAAUUGGCAGCAAUCAAGACGAGACUCAAAAGCUGCUGCAAGAUCAUGAACUUCUCCUGGCUAAACUUAAGACUUUGGAAGACCAAGUGUGGGACCUGCUGCAUGAAGCCGACAAGGCUGCAGAGGAGAACAAGGAGCAGAGCCAGGUGUACGAUGCUAUGGCAGAGACCCUUGGGGAUGCGUGGGAUGCUCUCAUCGUUAUGUUAGAGAAGCGAAAGGCACUUUUGGAACUUACAGCGGUGUUCUUCGAAAAUGCUCUGGAGUUUGCUGUUAAAAUUGAUCAAGUUGAAGAUUUCCUGAGAAAUGCCCAAGGGUUUGAAAAUAUUGACUCUUUGAGAGAACUCCUUCUGCAACAAGAACAUCAUACGAAAGAACUCUUGGAAAAGUCACUGGCCCUUUUAAACAAAAGUCAAGAGCUAACUGAAUUCAUAGAAGGAUUCAAAUCUGAGGGGCCAAAUGCAAAUCCUGAACUGAUUCAGGGAGCCCACAGCAGCUGCUUGAAAAUUGACAAUCUCCUUGAACUAUUACAAGACAGGAGACGGCAACUGGACAGAUUUCUCAGACAUCAGCGCCAAGGACUGGAGCAGGUUCUGCAUAUUUGUUUGUGGCACCAACAAGAGAACCAGGUAACAUCUUGGUACAAGAACAACAUCAGAGAUUAUUUUCACAGGCAAACACUAGGCUCAUCUUUACUGGAAAAUGAAGAACUAAUUCAAGAGCACAGUGAAAUGGAAGUCAAAGUAAAAGAAUGGAAUUCUGCUGUGGAACAACUGAAGGCUGAAGCACUUAAGGUCUUGCUUUGGGAGGACUCUGCUGACAAGGAGCAUCUGAAGCUUUCAAAUCAGAAAAUCUGUCUGCUGCAAGAAGAGGUGUGCUGCCAUAUGGAAGAAAGGAAGGCCUUGCUACAAGAGGCCAAUGACUUCUUAAAUGCUGCUAAUAAGGCCCUUGGUGCUCUUGAAGGUAUUGAGAAUUACCUUAAAAUCCUUAAUUCAGAAGGCUUAAGUUUGCCUAUCUUGGCAAUGAAGUAUGAGGAAUUACAGGAAGAAAUUAAAGACUGCACAGCCAGUACCUUGCAAAAGGGACAAACUUUAGUUAAUAAAGCAGAUUCUCACAGCUCUUGGGCAAUGGGAAUUCAGAAAAUGAUGGAGUAUGUUCAGAAAAAAGUAGAUCUGCUAAUCGAACAGUGUCCAAGUUACAACGAACUUACUUUGAAGAAACAACAAUUGACUGCAUCACUUGAAGAUCAUCUAAAUAAGGUAUCACAAUCAAUUAAAAAAAUCACCCCGAUGCUUUUAACUGGUAUGGAGAUUGGUUCUUACUUGUCCGAGUCUGAAGGAGCUUUGAACAAACAUCUUGAGCUGGCUAAUCAAACAAAGGAAGCUUCACAUGAACUGGAAGCAGCUGAGAGAAUCAUAAAAGAUUUGGAAGAAUUUGAACCUGUGCAAGUGGCAGCUUUUUCUAGCAAAGCCAACUUUCUGAAUGAAGAACUGAAAAAAAUUAAAAGAAAUAUUUGUUCAAAACUAGAAAUUCUAGAAACUUAUGUGGCCUUUUUAAAAUCAGCAAUGGAGGUGAAUGACUAUAUUCGAGAUCUAAAGCAGCUGUAUGCAUCUGAAGCUCUACAAGCAAGCAGGGAAGCUGAAAAUAAAACUGCAAUUGAGUCGGCUAAUACUUGGUGGCAAAAGGCUAUAAAGAAAAUUUUUUCCACCCAAGAUAUGGGUCACAAUUUUCUUAAUUUAGUAAAUAUGCAGGUAAAUGAGAGUUUAAUAUUAAAGGUAGAAAAAUCUGUACAAGUAACAGAAGACACCAUUAUGAAUCUGCAUAAAGAAAAGAAAGAACUGACUGAUCUUUGGGCAAGCUGGAAUUAUAAAAUUAAUCAAGUAAAACCCAUUAAGCAGCAGUGCUGGAUAUUUAAAGAACAACUCAAAAAGACUGCCCAUGGGUUAGAGAGUCUUCAAGGGGCGCUCGGACUUGCCGCAGUAGUUGACCUUGGAAGUGACCUUUGUAUUAUUUUAGAACUGCAAAAAAAGCUUAACGAAAUGAAACCACAGCUUCAGCAACUGAAUGCUGAGCUUGAGUACAUGGUAAAAUUAUUAGAACUGCUGAGCCAAGAAGGAUUUUCCGGCAAAGAGAAUCCUGAGAGAGUAAGUGAACUUAUUCAUCUCCAUCAAACAGUAAAGGACACAAUGACAGAAUAUGAUGAUGUUUUCGGCAAGACAGUCCAAUUCCAUCAUCUUAAAAGAGAACUGGAAUCUCUGUCAAAAUCAGGAGAACUGGAUAUUCCUGAAAUAAGUGAGGGCCCUGAAGAUGUGCACCAUGCGAAAGCCUAUCUGGUGAAUGCGCAGGAGAAACAUGCAUGGAUCAGGCAUCUAUAUAGACUGGUUCUUACCCAGGGAGUGAAUAUUGUGUCUGCAGUGCAGCAACCUAAUCGCUUAAAUGUUUCCGUAAAGAAUCUAAAGCAGGAACUUGCUAGACUUGAGUAUGACAGCAUUAACUGGAGCUCCAAAGCAGAUGAGUAUGAGGAAGAAUUGUCACUGAAUUACCAGUACUGCACCACUCAGGAGGAGAUAAAUGAGCUCAGAGAAUCAUUUAAGGAUCUCAAAAAGAAAUUCAACAAUUUGAAGUUUAACUAUACUAAGAAAACUGAAAAAGCUCGAAAUUUGAAAGUACUUAAAAUACAGAUUCAGCAAGUCGAUAUGUGUGCUGAGAAAAUACAGAUUCUUAAAAAGAAGAUGGAUAAUUUAGAGAAGAAAAUCACUGGUUCUGUGGCAAAUCAACCUAAUGCUAAAGUCAAAGUCCUCUUAGGGUCAGUUAGUGAGUUACAAAAACAGCUGAAUGACUUUGGCAAAGUUGUGGAGGAUUACAAGCAAAAUCUGGAUCUCGUGGAGCAUCUACAACAGAUGAUGGAAGAGUGUCAAUUUUGGUUUGAAGAUGUGAGUGCAACAGUUAUUAGAGUUCGCAAGUAUUCUUCAGAGUGUAAGACAAGAGAAGCAAUAGAGUCUCUCUACAAGCAAUUCAAUAAGUUUAUUGAGCCCACAGUGCCUCAACAAGAAGAAAAAAUUCAGGAGAUUACAGAGCUUGCUAAACGUUUAUAUGGUAUUGAAGAAGGAAAGAAAUAUGCUGAAAAAACCAUAUUGAAGCACAAAGAAGUCCUUAACUCUGUUGAUGAGUUGUGUAGAUCUCUGAGAGAAUUUAAGGAGAUUCAGCAGAAAGGUGAGUUUGCUGAAGAGCUGGCUGCUCUACAGGAGGCAGAAAGAGGAAACAGUCAAGAUGCGCAUACGGACGUUAUUAAAGACAAAGCAGGGAAACAAACGAAAAAGGUGAGAUCAGAUACAUUACGCUUGAAUUCAGAAAGCAUUACUGAGAAGAGAAACUAUACUCCUCCUCCUUCUGCCAACAGUAAACAGGAAAGGAAUAAACUGGCUGAUAUUCCAAUUAUCUGCCCAGCUGGUGAGGAUUUUGUUUCACAGGAUACAGAGCUGUCAUCUUCAGCCAAAGAGGAUAGUUUACAGACUGAGCUCCUGGCAGAAGAAAUACCUUCUGGAGAUGAAUAUGAGUACACCACCAGAAGCUGUCAGAGGCAGAUGGUCGCCCGAGGAGAGAUUAGAAGUGCAUCAGAAAAGAACAGCAUGGUCAGCCUUUCUGGACAGGCGCCUAACUUCUCUCAGCUUCUGUCUAACAUAACCGUCACGGAAGGUUCUCCGGUAACUUUGGAAGUAGAAGUAACAGGAUUCCCAGAGCCUACACUGACAUGGUACAAGAAGGGCCAGAAACUGACUGCCGAUGAGCACGUAAAGCUUUGGCAAAAGGAGACAAAACACACGCUGUUCAUUCGGGAGGUGCGUGACAAAGACGCUGGCCUCUAUGUUGCUCGGGCUAACAAUUCGAAUGGUACUGUCUCGUCAAGUGCCGUGCUCCGUGUGAAAGUACAAGGAAAGCAGCCAAACUUCAUACGAAAAUUUGGACAUACAGCUCUACAAGAAGGAGAAGAUUUAAUCCUACAUUGCAGCAUAUAUGGGAGGCCCAAACCACAAGUCUCCUGGACUAAGGAUGAUAUUCCAGUGACAGCUCGAGGAGGCAUCAACACUGAGAAAUUAGGAGACACCUAUUACCUCUUAAAAAGAAAUGUAGUGCUUGCUGACAGUGGGAAGUAUAUCUGUGUUGCCAGCAAUGAAGCUGGGAAGGCAUACUGUUCAGCUCUCGUAACAGUGAGAGAGAAAAACAAAAACCCAGAAAUUGCCUCUGUAACUCAGACUAAAACAGAAUGGGAACAUGAAUACCUGUCAGGAAAAGUGAGUGGCACUACCCGUGAACUAGUGCCAGCCCGGGGCACCUAUUACGUGAGAGGUCAAAGACCUGCGGCUAAGCAUCUGCCAGUAAGAUGCUAAACUAAGACUGAACAGCAUAAAGGCACAAAGUAUUCCAGAAGUUCAAAUGGAUACAACUACGUAUUUUUCUUAUGAUGUGCAGAUGAACUUUGGUUGUGGCAUAGGAAUACACUGUUAGCUAGCCUGUCUCAAACGGGUUUGCUACUCACGCACUGAAUCCUACAACUAUCUUCUGCGUCGUAGGUUACUUGAAAAAAUGAUUCCAUGAAAAUAGAUCAAUCCAUUUCCUUUCUAAGGGAGAAAGGAGCACAGUACUGCUUAUAUAUAUAGUGUCAAUGCUCAAGUUAGGGCAGUUGAUAUCAUAUAUACAAAUUCUCUUUUAUUAUCACAGUAUAUUAUUCAGUAUCACUAACAUUUAACAAAUGCUAAAAGAAACACACGGAAAACUCCAAUAGUCUGCGAUUUCUUAUUCCAGAAAGAUCACCAUCUUAACAACAUACUGGAUCUGUAAGUUAUCCUGUUACACAAGUGGCCUUUGACUUUUUUUGCAGGCAAACACUAAAAGAUUGUUUGUCUGCAAAAUAAUGCCAUAUUCAUGAUAACUUAAUUUUAAAAAUAUGACAUCAGCAAAUAAAAUGAGAUCUUCAAAGUAAAAUUGUGAGGUUUUCUUGAUAAAAGAAUUAUUUGACAGCUGUGCCACGUAGAAGACAGCUAAUAUUUUUAAUAUUUUGAAUCCUUAAUAAACAAAAGGAAAAAUUUCAUAAUGAAACAACAGACUGAGUUUGAAUGCCAAGAAGAAAUACCACUAGGGCAUGAAGUCUCAAGCAGUAAUAGAAUAUGUAAUCAAACUUUUCUAUUAGGUAAGCAUCUUAAGAAGUAGUAGUAGCAAUCCUAAUAGCACAGAACAGUCAUUAACUGUUAAUUCAUUAAGGAUGACAAAAUUCCUCAUGGUGCAACUUGAGAAAUUUAGUGUGAUAUAUGAAGUCAGUAGUUGUUUUGGUGACUUGCACAAAUAAUGUAAAGUAAAUUUUGCAAGGUAAAUUUUACCUUUUGAAUUCAGGCUCUUAUAUCCCACUGUAGUUUAUGCUGCUAAAAUCUUUUGAGCAGUGUGUUCGGAGCAAAAAAGUUCUUAUAUCCUGUGACAGUUAUCAGUUCACUGUUGACUUUGAAAUGUCAGAUUAGAAGAGGUAAGCCAGGGAUGACAAAGAAACCUGGAGUGCAAGACUCGAACUGGCUGGGCAAGAAGGCUUGGAAGGGCAGGAUCUGCAGGUGGGUUGGCGACCGCAGUUGUGACGCAGAAAUGGUGAUUCCUGCUAAGGAAACACGUUCCACAAGAAGAGCUGAGAGAACCAAAAUAGCUUUCCUGUGGUGAAAAUACUGCUCUACUGCUUUCUUGCCUUUGCUUGUUUACUUUUAUUCCAAUUGAAGUGAAUGUUUAAAUAUAGAAAAUUUCAUGAAACACUUCUGAAAAACGUUUAGGUGUAUCAAAACUUUACUUGAGUAAUACUGAUAUAGUUCAACAAAAGUGAACAAUUCUGCUAGUAAUGCUUAUUACAUGUUUGUCAAAAUAGUGAGACCAUUUUACAGUGAAAAUCUGGUUUCAUAAUGACAAAAUAAACCAGCUUCCUUCAUGGAAGGUGUUUGGAGGAAUGUAUUGGGAAAGAGGCUUCAUGACUCUCAUGCCUUUAAAGAAGUAAUGAUUAAUGUGACCUGGGAAAAUAGCUGCAAAUCUGUGGGAUUCCUGGUCUGUCAAUGUCUGCUUAAAAUGUUAGAUUUACACUGUUCACAUAAAAAAUUAUAACCUGAAAAAUGCUUGAAUGUUUUCUGAGCUUUUCAUGUAAAGUGAAUACUAUAGAAGAAAGAGCUAGAAUGGUGGGUUUUUUCUUCUUUUCUCAGGUACAGUUGUGUGCCUAGAUAUUGAACAACUUGUAAAAGGAAAGGAAAAUUGUUGCAUAUGUUGAUUCAAAAGCUGUUCUCAUUUCAUUAAAGGCUAUGUUUACACUCUCA
RNA transcript from Rhea pennata, 6743 nucleotides. It is a transcript of the gene named coiled-coil domain containing 141, with no coding region annotated. NCBI's taxonomy places the organism in Eukaryota, Metazoa, Chordata, Aves, Rheiformes, Rheidae. The record is from RefSeq and is a predicted model, not a curated record. The transcript has 32 exons.